Molecule: ribosomal RNA, 371 nt
Filed under: uncultured bacterium
Lineage: Bacteria
Description: bacterial SSU rRNA
Rfam family: Bacterial small subunit ribosomal RNA
Source: RNAcentral
GUAGGGUGCGAGCGUUAAUCGGAAUUACUGGGCGUAAAGUGUGCGCAGGCGGCCGCGCAAGUCGAGUGUGAAAGCCCCGAGCUUAACUUGGGAAUUGCGCUCGAAACUACGUGGCUGGAGUGUGGCAGAGGAAGGUGGAAUUCCACGUGUAGCGGUGAAAUGCGUAGAGAUGUGGAGGAACACCAAUGGCGAAGGCAGCCUUCUGGGCCAACACUGACGCUCAUGCACGAAAGCGUGGGGAGCAAACAGGAUUAGAUACCCUGGUAGUCCACGCCCUAAACGAUGACGACUAGUUGUUGGAGGAGUUAAAUCCUUUAGUAACGCAGCUAACGCGCGAAGUCGUCCGCCUGGGGAGUACGGUCGCAAGAUUA